This is a long non-coding RNA of Carassius gibelio (silver crucian carp), 612 nucleotides long. RefSeq lists it as uncharacterized. NCBI's taxonomy places the organism in Eukaryota, Metazoa, Chordata, Actinopteri, Cypriniformes, Cyprinidae. The record is from RefSeq and is a predicted model, not a curated record. The transcript is spliced from 3 exons.
CAAAGGCCAAAGUUCAAAUUAGAGAGCUGUCGCCUUACAAUCAUUUUUAUAGGGACAUAUUCAAAAACAAAGGCACAAUGAAUGAUAUUAAGGGCAGGUGCGCCACAUUGGGGGAAGAUGCAAAGCAAAAAUACAUUCAAGAGGCAGCAGCACUGAGGGCACAUGGGCAGGCACAGGACCUAAACCCUGAGAUGAGGGAUGCCCGAAUUAAAAUGCACUUAAAGAAGCUGAAGUUAGAGAUAGAGGCAAUUUGUGCUGUGUCUGCCGCGUCCAUUUUGAUGAUAAGAAGAAGAAUGCAAGAAAGAAGUGGCGUUCAUGGUCUCAGUGCACAGUGUGCCAAUCAUGGUCACACACAGCAUGUGGCUUUAAAAAGAACAAGUGCGUUCACUGCCAGGGUCAAGACACCAUGCAAACACCCUGAAGAUGUAUCUUGUUACUUGUUUGGGUUGUUUUUACUGUAUGGACGGCCCCCAACCCAUCCAUACAAACAAACACACACACACAAUACAUACAUAUGCUGCAAAUUUAUUGUAAUGACCAUACUUCACACGUAAGAAGAAAAUUGUGAUCUUUUUGUUAUUUUCAUUCACCCCAAUUUUUAUUUAUUUUUGU